UGAACGCUGGCGGUAUGCUUAACACAUGCAAGUCGAACGGAAACGAUACUAGCUUGCUAGUAGGCGUCGAGUGGCGGACGGGUGAGUAACGCGUAGGAAUCUGCCUGAUAGUGGGGGAUAGCCCGAAGAAAUUCGGAUUAAUACCGCAUAAUCUAUUCGUAGUAAAGUGGGGGACUUUCGAGCCUCACGCUAUCAGAUGAGCCUGCGUAAGAUUAGCUUGUUGGUAGGGUAAAAGCCUACCAAGGCGACGAUCUUUAGCUGGUCUGAGAGGAUGAUCAGCCACAUCGGGACUGAGACACGGCCCGAACUCCUACGGGAGGCAGCAGUGGGGAAUAUUGGACAAUGGGGGCAACCCUGAUCCAGCAAUACCGCGUGUGUGAAGAAGGCCUGAGGGUUGUAAAGCACUUUCAAUUGUGAAGAAAAGUUAGCGGUUAAUAACCGUUAGCCUUGACGUUAACUUUAGAAGAAGCACCGGCUAACUCCGUGCCAGCAGCCGCGGUAAUACGGAGGGUGCAAGCGUUAAUCGGAAUUACUGGGCGUAAAGCGUGCGUAGGCGGUUUAUUAAGUCAGAUGUGAAAGCCCCGGGCUUAACCUGGGAACUGCAUUUGAAACUGGUCAACUAGAGUAUGGUAGAGGAAAGUGGAAUUUCUGGUGUAGCGGUGAAAUGCGUAGAUAUCAGAAGGAACAUCAAUGGCGAAAGGCAGCUUUCUGGACCAAUACUGACGCUGAGGUACGAAAGCGUGGGUAGCAAACAGGAUUAGAUACCCUGGUAGUCCACGCCGUAAACGAUGAUAACUAGCCGUUGGGGGGAUUUACCCUUUAGUGGCGAAGCUAACGCGUUAAGUUAUCCGCCUGGGGAGUACGGCCGCAAGGUUAAAACUCAAAGGAAUUGACGGGGACCCGCACAAGCGGUGGAGCAUGUGGUUUAAUUCGAUGCAACGCGAAGAACCUUACCUGGUCUUGACAUCCUGCGAACUUUCUAGAAAUAGAUUGGUGCCUUCGGGAACGCAGUGACAGGUGCUGCAUGGCUGUCGUCAGCUCGUGUCGUGAGAUGUUGGGUUAAGUCCCGUAACGAGCGCAACCCCUAUCCUUAUUUGCCAGCACGUCAUGGUGGGAACUAUAAGGAGACUGCCGGUGAUAAACCGGAGGAAGGCGGGGACGACGUCAAGUCAUCAUGGCCCUUACGACCAGGGCUACACACGUGCUACAAUGGGAAGGACAAAGAGCCGCGAAGCCGCGAGGUGUAGCUAAUCUCAUAAACCUUUUCGUAGUCCGGAUUGGAGUCUGCAACUCGACUCCAUGAAGUCGGAAUCGCUAGUAAUCGUAGAUCAGAAUGCUACGGUGAAUACGUUCCCGGGUCUUGUACACACCGCC
Molecule: ribosomal RNA, 1374 nt
Filed under: uncultured bacterium
Lineage: Bacteria
Description: 16S ribosomal RNA
Rfam family: Bacterial small subunit ribosomal RNA
Source: RNAcentral